UACGUAGGGUGCAAGCGUUGUCCGGAAUUAUUGGGCGUAAAGAGCUCGUAGGCGGUCUGUCGCGUCGGCUGUGAAAACCCGGGGCUCAACCCCGGGCCUGCAGUCGAUACGGGCAGACUAGAGUGCGGUAGGGGAGACUGGAAUUCCUGGUGUAGCGGUGAAAUGCGCAGAUAUCAGGAGGAACACCGGUGGCGAAGGCGGUGGGCUGGGCCGGCACUGACGCUGAGGAGCGAAAGCGUGGGGAGCGAACAGG
RNAcentral lists this ribosomal RNA (253 nucleotides) under uncultured bacterium. RNAcentral's name for it is "partial 16S ribosomal RNA". It matches the Rfam family "Bacterial small subunit ribosomal RNA", at positions 524 to 776 of the family's 1533-position model. The record is from RNAcentral.